This is a long non-coding RNA of Triticum aestivum (bread wheat), 2839 nucleotides long. RefSeq lists it as uncharacterized. The record is from RefSeq and is a predicted model, not a curated record. The transcript is spliced from 10 exons. NCBI's taxonomy places the organism in Eukaryota, Viridiplantae, Streptophyta, Magnoliopsida, Poales, Poaceae.
ACACAUUUCUCUCCUCUCUCCCCCUCUGCUCCCUCUGGUGGCUCCUGAGAUCUGGUUUUCACUGGAGAAUCACCGGCGACCACUUCAUCGUCUUUACUCAAAAGAUGGAACAAGGAUGUAAAAAAAGAGAAGUGGAUCAAGUAGUACAUGCAAGGAAAAGAACAAAGUGCAAUCAACUUCAGCAUGUUGAAGCAUUUCUGAAGCUCACAUCUAAAAUAUCUGAUAAUUGCAAGAAACAUAUACACAGAAUGGGUUUCAGGUCAUUCCUACAAAUAACUAGCAUGUCCAAUAUAUACUCUAUUUACCUCUAGCUUGCAAAUCAUUUCAACACAACUUCGUGCUCUAUUGAAACACAAAAUGGCUUCAAAUUCCGAAUUACACCUACAACUAUUCACAAAUUUUUUGGCAUUCCAAUUGGUGGACAUCUUGUAAUCACAAAACCAUCAGAAGCAACCUAUGAGUUCAUUCAACAAGAUUUAGGAACAAGAGUACCAACAAUUGAAUACCUUUCCUCAAUUAUCAAUGAUGAUAUCCCCGAAGAAAAAUACUGCAGAAUCUUCAUUCUCAUACUCCUGUCAUUGUUUGUUGCCCCUAAUUCAAGUGGAGUUUCUAGCAAGUUUGUGUAUAGUGCAAUAGUUGACAUUGACAGAAUUUCUCAGUAUGAUUGGUGUCUGCUAUGUCUGAGCUACAUGGUUUGUUCAAUAAAGAAAACAAGGCUGAAGAACACAGUGAGCAAAGAAAUCAUUCCUAGUGGAAGCAAGUUACUUAUGGUGAUAUCCUACUUUGAAUUCCUGAUAAUAACUGAAAUCAAGAUGCCGACUAGAAACAAGACUACCAUUAUGAUAAAACACAUGUCCUCAACUCCAUUCAUUGAUUGAAAUUACAUCUGCCUGAAGAAAUUGCGGAGUACAUUGAAUCCAAAUUCUCAGAUAUUAGUCUAACACAAAUCUUGUUGAGCCUAAACUAAAUAAAGGUAGGUUGCUUCCUGAAAUCACAUAUCCAGUUGACAAGUCUCUCAACAGUACACCGCAUGGCAAUUCAAAUGGAGAAGCUGGUUCAAGCACUCAAUACGCACAAUCAGAUUAUCCUUCCUUUGAUUUCAGCCUCCCACCAAGUCAAUAUAACAACCAACAUCAUAAUUAUGCCAACACCAUUGUUCUUCCAAGUGAGAGCCCAAUAAGGAUGAUGGACUUCCUGUCACCAAAAGUAUACCCAAGCACUAUUGGCACACCCCUUGAAGAUCCUUUGUUAGUUCAAGCACUUGAACAACAUGAAACACAUUCCAGUAAGUUCUAUAAACCAGAAGGUUCAUCUUGGCAGCAACGCGUAAACAAUUCUUUCAAAUCUGGGACAGUAGUAAUCCAAGAUCAGAAGAAGGGAAAUAAGGAGGUCAUUUUUUCAACUGGAAUAGAUAAUGCCUUCUACCAAUCAUUGGUUGGACAUCUUUCCAAGUUAACCUAUAGGUAUGUAAAAAUGACAUAUGAAAUUUAUCAUACAUCUUUCUACAUGUUUUGGACAUAAACAAAUGUAUGCUUUUUAAGCUUUCUCUUCUUUGUUUUUUUCUACUUGUGUUAAUGUUGCUCUUCUCCCAUAAAACACCCAAAGGAUCUAUGAGAUUGAACGAGUUUGGGUAGAACAGAAAACUAUAACACUAUCAUUCAAGAUUGGCGGUUGGAUAAAUCCUCGGGUUGUUGAGUAUUUUUCAAAACUAAGGAAUAAAGACCAGCUCAACCGAGGAAUAAAAGGCCUGCUUCCAAGCAGCAAUUUAGUAGAACAUAUAGUUAGCAUUGAUGACAUGGUGAGCCUAUAUUUGUGUUCUUUUUCUUACUUUUCAUUUACGGUACAACAAUUUUUGUUUCUUUUCCUAACUUUCAAUCAUUUCGUUCAAAUAAAAUAUGUAGGAGAAGCUAAUGAACCUAAUGCUAAAUCAUUCAGAUCCUGCAAACCAAAUUGAUUUUACGGGAAUGUAAUGUUGGAUUCAGUUUAUUGAACGCUUCCUUGGUAACAAUUUCUUUUUUUGUUAAAACAGAUCAUACAGAAUUUGAACUUUUACAUAGAGGUUUGACUAAUAUUCCCGUUCCUUCAAUUUAUCUAGGUAAAAGUGCAUGUGUUCAAGGAAAAACAAUUGUUAUUAAUCGUUGCUAAUUUUUGAGCCAAAUUUUUUGAUAUUAUGAACCCGCACUACAGCGACAAUGCAUUUCUACCAACAAUUAGUGCAGUAAUCUACAACUUCAAGACUUUAUUCACUGCAUCAUAUGGAAAUACUAGUUCUUUCAACAUAGGAAAUUCUGAGUCAAGAUUUGCCAGCUCCAAAAGUACGACUCAGGAAUUUCCCUCCUUAGUAUCUUAGCAAGUACAAAGGUCUCGGAAUGGAAGGUUUCUCCAAUGACGAUUUACAAGCUCUACGAGAGAAAUUUCUUUUUGAGAUCAUAACUUGCAAGGACAAUGAAAUCCAGCUUUCUUUUUAUUGCCACAAUCCUUGGCCUCCUCCUCAUCACAUCUCUAUCUCAACAGGGUUUCCGCAUUUUCAAGGGAAGCAUUCAACAUGAUUUCUGCAUAUGAACAAAGCUUUUAGGCAUUCAUUGCCAUUCGUUACUGUCAAGUAUAAUGGAAUCUGCACUAGAAGAAGUUCUCCUGAAUUUGCACUGAAAGGAAAAAACCAUGGCGAAAAUGCUUCAUCCUAAGAAAAAAACCAUUUGUUUCUGUUUCUUGCUUGUUUUGAUGUUUACCCUAGUGAUACUUUUUUGCAUAUGAACAACAGAAAGAAUUACUGAAGAAGUUGUAAUUGAUAUACCUUUACCAUACAAUUUCAUCCUACUGAUAAUUAGUUCUGGAAAAA